GAUGAACGCUGGCGGCGUGCCUAAUACAUGCAAGUCGAGCGAACAGACGAGGAGCUUGCUCCUCUGACGUUAGCGGCGGACGGGUGAGUAACACGUGGAUAACCUACCUAUAAGACUGGGAUAACUUCGGGAAACCGGAGCUAAUACCGGAUAAUAUAUUGAACCGCAUGGUUCAAUAGUGAAAGACGGUUUUGCUGUCACUUAUAGAUGGAUCCGCGCCGCAUUAGCUAGUUGGUAAGGUAACGGCUUACCAAGGCGACGAUGCGUAGCCGACCUGAGAGGGUGAUCGGCCACACUGGAACUGAGACACGGUCCAGACUCCUACGGGAGGCAGCAGGAGGGAAUCUUCCGCAAUGGGCGAAAGCCUGACGGAGCAACGCCGCGUGAGUGAUGAAGGUCUUCGGAUCGUAAAACUCUGUUAUUAGAGAAGAACAAAUGUGUAAGUAACGAUGCACGUCUUGACGGUACCUAAUCAGAAAGCCACGGCUAACUACGG
Molecule: ribosomal RNA, 496 nt
Filed under: uncultured bacterium
Lineage: Bacteria
Description: partial 16S ribosomal RNA
Rfam family: Bacterial small subunit ribosomal RNA
Source: RNAcentral